RNAcentral lists this ribosomal RNA (265 nucleotides) under uncultured Synergistaceae bacterium. RNAcentral's name for it is "partial 16S ribosomal RNA". It matches the Rfam family "Bacterial small subunit ribosomal RNA", at positions 1119 to 1382 of the family's 1533-position model. The record is from RNAcentral. Lineage: Bacteria; Thermotogati; Synergistota; Synergistia; Synergistales; Synergistaceae.
AUCCGGGUAAUGCCGGGCACUCUGGAAGGACUGCCAUCGACAAGAUGGAGGAAGGUGGGGAUGACGUCAAGUCAUCAUGGCCCUUAUGUCCAGGGCGACACACGUGCUACAAUGGCCGGCACAACGGGAAGCGAGUUCGCGAGGACGAGCGGAUCCCUCAAAGCCGGUCGCAGUUCGGAUUGAAGUCUGCAACUCGACUUCAUGAAGCUGGAAUCGCUAGUAAUCGUGGAUCAGCCAAGCCGCGGUGAAUACGUUCCCGGGCCUU